This 240-nucleotide unclassified non-coding RNA is filed under the name soil metagenome. RNAcentral describes it as "partial contains 5.8S ribosomal RNA, internal transcribed spacer 2, and large subunit ribosomal RNA". The record is from RNAcentral.
AACGAGGCCGACCUGCGGCUGAGUUACCUGCGGAAGGAUCAUUACAGAGUUGCAAAACUCCCUAAACCAUUGUGAACGUUACCUAAACCGUUGCUUCGGCGGGCGGCCCGGGUCCUUCCCGGCGCCCCUCGGCCCUCGCGGGCGCCCGCCGGAGGUAAACCAAACUAUUGCAUUGUAUGGCCUCUCUGAGUCUUCUGUACUGAAUAAGUCAAAACUUUCAGCAAUGGAUCUCAGAUCGGA